GAUGAACGCUGGCGGCGUGCUUAACACACGCAAGUCGAACGAAGCACUUUAUUUGAUUUCCUUCGGGACUGAUUAUUUUGUGACUGAGUGGCGGACGGGUGAGUAACGCGUGGGUAACCUGCCUUGUACAGGGGGAUAACAGUUGGAAACGGCUGCUAAUACCGCAUAAGCGCACAGCAUCGCAUGAUGCAGUGUGAAAAACUCCGGUGGUAUAAGAUGGACCCGCGUUGGAUUAGCUAGUUGGUGAGGUAACGGCCCACCAAGGCGACGAUCCAUAGCCGACCUGAGAGGGUGACCGGCCACAUUGGGACUGAGACACGGCCCAAACUCCUACGGGAGGCAGCAGUGGGGAAUAUUGCACAAUGGGCGAAAGCCUGAUGCAGCGACGCCGCGUGAGCGAAGAAGUAUUUCGGUAUGUAAAGCUCUAUCAGCAGGGAAGAUAAUGACGGUACCUGACUAAGAAGCACCGGCUAAAUACGUG
RNAcentral lists this ribosomal RNA (481 nucleotides) under uncultured bacterium. Its description in RNAcentral is "partial 16S ribosomal RNA". It matches the Rfam family "Bacterial small subunit ribosomal RNA", at positions 28 to 507 of the family's 1533-position model. The record is from RNAcentral.